Molecule: long non-coding RNA, 3119 nt
Filed under: Marmota monax (woodchuck)
Lineage: Eukaryota; Metazoa; Chordata; Mammalia; Rodentia; Sciuridae
Source: RNAcentral
CUUUCUUGGUGGGAGUUGAAUCAGAUCAAGACUCCAAGAAUACUUGUCACAUAAAGUGAAAUUUGCAGCAAGUAAGGAGAACACAGGGAAUCAUUUCCAAAGCUAGGACUCCCCAAAGCUAGCAAACUUUUUUUUUUUAUUUGUGCAGCAAUGUAUAUUCCCAAGGGGAAAGGGCAUCCUCACAUGGGCAGAAUGGUCCUGCACAGGCACAGUCUGACAGCAUCUCCUUUAUACUUUCCAUGGAAACAAGGCUUCAGCUCUUUCUUGGAUGCAAAUUUUUGGUAUUAUAAUGAAGUAAAGUUUGCCUCUUGGUCAUUGAUGCAUGCUCCUUAGGGUAGAUUGUGGAACAUUGUAUCUGAAAAACGUCUUUUAAGGGGAUUUCUUAAACUAUUUUAGAGCAAAGGAACAGGAUGGGAGAUGGUCUGCAUCCUGCUUUCUCAAGCUACUGAAUGGGAGAGACAGUUUGCAUCUUGUUUUCUCAGGCUGCUAGUGGUGAGAAGCCUCAUCCUGCUUCCUCAGGCUGCCCUUCUGCUCACAGAACCACAUGAAGCUAUACAGACACCUACUAUACAACACCAUCUCUUGUUCAGAAACUACCAUUCUCUGGGUAUGCUAGUAGAUAACUUGAUACACAUAGACAAGGUGUGUCUGAUAAUCUAAACUACUUAUCAAGUAAGUACAAUUAUACCCACUAAAUACAGGAGGAAACAAGGUUAGCAUGGUUAAAAACUUUCUGGGGUUCCAUAGAGGCAGAGGGAGGAUUUGAACCCAGUCCUUUGAACCCAGCUCGUGCACUUUCUGGAACACUCUUGUGUCUCUGUCCUUUCUUUUCCCUGCCUGUGCUCAUAUUGUAUUUUUUUCUCAUGAUUUUUUUAACCUUCAAUUUCCCCCGUCAGAACACUCAUCAAUCACAUUUGUCUAUGAAUAUAUUUAUGUUCAUGUACUUUAAUAUUUGUAUUUAUAUUUAUCUACUUUAUAUUUAUGAAUAAGAUAUACUCCCCAAUUGGUAAUGGUGGUUUAAUCUGAGUAGUAGACUACUUUGCAAUUUAUAUUUUCUUUUGUGUUUUUCUAUAUUAUUAAAUGAAAUUUAUUACUGUGAUCAGAGAAAAAAAUCUUUAAAACCUUUCACAUGCUUUUAAGUUCAUAUGCUGCUGUCUGAAUACAAUCUUUUCUUGAUAUCCAAGCUGAUCCUUUCUCGUCCUUGUUUGAAACACAUGCCUUUCCAUAGCAUGUGUUUCCCAUGCCUUUUGGGGUAAUUUUUAGUGUUUUGCUGUGUAGUCUGUGAAACUUCAAUUAUUCUAGGCCCAUCAACUUAAAAGAAAGAGGCACAGCUACCAAUAAAAAUGAUAGCAGAAUAGUUGUUACUCUAAGGGUCUGGGGUAUAGCUCAGUUGUAGAGUACUUGCCUAGCCCUGGGUUCAAGUUUCAGCACACACACAAAAAAAGUUACUCUAGUCACACUCACUCCCUCCUCCCCAUCAUGAUAGCAUGAUAGCUAGGACUUUCCUGCUGUGUCUCUUCCUAUGACUUGAAAGCUAUGUCCUCCACAAAGCUGAUCAUAUGACAUGGGUCAAACAUGCGCACUUGGUGGUGCUGGGGAUAUGGCUCAAGCGGUAGCGCGCUCGCCUGGCAUGCGUGCAGCCCAGGUUCCAUCCUCAGCACCAUGUACAAACAAAGAUGUUGUGUCAAACAAAGAUGUUGUGUCCUGUUGAGAGCCACAGCCGAAGGGGCCCCAGCAAAUUUCCAGCUGACAGCUGAUGAUUGGCUCACAGCGGCCCCAGCAAACUUCUAGCUGCCAACUGAUUGGCUCCUGUGAGGUGAUGCUCAUUGGGCUGUUUCCCUGCCCUUUCAGACCACAGAACUACUCUUUGGGGGACUGUUUUUUUUGGCUCCGCCCACGUGACCCAGCCAAUAGGCCUCAAGAGCAGGAGGAGUGGGGGAGUUGGAGAGGCUUGUGGGAAGCCGGUGGUGGCAGUUGGGCUUUGAGGGUUUUCCUGAGGAGCUGUGUGGUGUGGUGUGUGUGUUCUAAAAAUAAAGUUCGUUUCUUUUGACAAGUGGCUUCUGAAUUGUGCCCAGCCAGACUGCAGCAGUAUCCACCAAUGACUAAAAAAUAAAUAUUAAAAAGUUCUCUCUCUCUCUCUCUUUAAAAAAAAAUGCUCACUUGGUAUUUGUCUUUGCAUGAUGCUGUCCCUCUUCCAUCACUUGGGCUAGACUAGAUUACAUUUCAUUUAUUGACAGCCAGACCCACCACAUCCCAGUUUGUCUCUGGUCUUUUUCACUUUUCUAAAAAGGGAGAAGGACUCUCUCUUCCCACCCAGGUUGUAUUUUUUAAAAGUUAUCUCUUGCCUGUUGAGUGUUAUGAGUGAGCUGUACAUUAAACAUGUCAGAAUUUAUUGAAUAAUAGUAAAUUCACAAGCUUUAUGUUUCAUCAGCAUUGAUUCACCAAGUACUUAUGGCUCACUUGAUAGCCCUGAACUGGGCAAUUCAAGUUCUUUAAUUCUCUUCCUAUCUUAAUUACUAAUAUUUGUAAUGCUGAAGUUACACAUCAUACUUUACACAAAUGAUCUAUAGGUUAUGAAAUGAAUAAGAAAGUGUUAACAGUGGCCAUAGGGUUUAAAGAGGUAGCAAGAAAAGCAAAAUAACAUUUAAUUGUAGGUCUAAUUAGCUUUUAUUUGUGAUUUAUGAAUCAAAGAAGCCUUUAAUGAAAGCUCACUUGGUAUUUGUCUUUGCAUGAUGCUGUCCCUCUAAUUUAGUUUUUUUUUUUUCCCAAGGUUGAAGAAGAGGCGACUUCCUUGUUCUUUCCAGUAGACUGUAAUCUACCAUUUUCAGGAAAAAAAUUUACUGGUCUGUUUUGGGGUAUAUUUCAUUAAGAGUUUCAGUGUGAUGAUGUGGCAUUUGGCAUGAAUGGCUCCAUUUUGGUUUGGUCUGGUCUGUUGGGGCCUAGUACAGGAGCUCAGUCCAAAAUAAUACUCUUAACAUAAUUUUUGUUUAACAGUGCUAAAUUAAUUCAGGAUUCAGAGUAAUCUGGUCCAAUCUCUCCUCAACUGGGGCCCGAAAGGGUUUAUGACUAUUGACUCUUCUGUCUGGUAAAUAAAGGUGUGACUUUCAUUUUAUAACUUA